RNAcentral lists this ribosomal RNA (407 nucleotides) under Streptomyces griseocarneus. RNAcentral describes it as "bacterial SSU rRNA". It matches the Rfam family "Bacterial small subunit ribosomal RNA", at positions 505 to 913 of the family's 1533-position model. The record is from RNAcentral. Lineage: Bacteria; Bacillati; Actinomycetota; Actinomycetes; Kitasatosporales; Streptomycetaceae.
GUGCCAGCAGCCGCGGUAAUACGGAAGGUCCGGGCGUUAUCCGGAUUUAUUGGGUUUAAAGGGAGCGCAGGCCGAUCGUUAAGCGUGACGUGAAAUGCAGCGGCUCAACCGUUGCACUGCGUCGCGAACUGGCGGUCUUGAGUGAGUUGGAUGUGGGCGGAAUUCGUGGUGUAGCGGUGAAAUGCUUAGAUAUCACGAAGAACUCCGAUUGCGAAGGCAGCCACGGGACCGUUACUGACGCUAAAGCUCGAAGGUGCGGGUAUCGAACAGGAUUAGAAACCCUGGUAGUCCGCACAGUAAACGAUGGAUGCCCGUUGUUAGUUCACUUAAGAAUUAGCGACCAAGCGAAAGCAUUAAGCAUCCCACCUGGGGAGUACGCCGGCAACGGUGAAACUCAAAGGAAUUGA